AAGGGAAUAAUAAACAUGCCGGAGAAAAAGUUCCAAAACCUGAAGUCUCACGACUGCCACGUGAUUAUGACGCAAUUGCUUCCGAUUGCUUUGGGGGGGCUCCUACCGGAAAAUGUUCGAGUAGCCAUUGUGAAGCUAUGUGCAUUCCUCAAUGCAAUCUCUCAGAAGGUAAUCAAUCCAGAAGAUCUACCACGGUUACAGAACGAUGUGGUCCAAUGCCUUGUCAGUUUCGAGUUGGUGUUCCCACCAUCCUUCUUCAAUAUUAUGACGCACCUCCUGGUCCACCUAGUCGAAGAGAUUUCCAUUCUCGGUCCUGUAUUUCUACACAAUAUGUUCCCCUUUGAGAGGUUCAUGGGA
RNAcentral lists this ribosomal RNA (357 nucleotides) under Triticum aestivum (bread wheat). RNAcentral describes it as "partial small subunit ribosomal RNA". Lineage: Eukaryota; Viridiplantae; Streptophyta; Magnoliopsida; Poales; Poaceae. The record is from RNAcentral.